GAGAGAGAAGACGCUGGGUAGAACCGGUUGUAGCAUACCUUCCAGUGGAAGACCUGUUUGUUUGAGAAGGAUCGUGAGAGACAUUUGGAAGGCGGGGUGUGCUUUCAUGUUGACCGAGACCCAGCGUGGGCCGUGGACAAUUCUGAUUUGAUGAAGAUGGAUGUGAAAGCACAGAGGAACAUCUGGAAAAAUUUCUGAAACGCUCGUUCGCUGCUGUCGUUAGGCCUCAAAAUCCCCAGCCUUGCCUGCUGUUGGCGACCAAGAAGGAGGUUGAAUUGUUCGGAUAGUGAUGGCGCUCAGUACUCAGCGUCGGAGAGCUGAUCAGAGCCCGAAGUUUUUGGAUGACUCAGAGUCGGAUUGUGGUCGGAUAUGGCAGGGAGAGUUUUUCUUCCUUCUCUCCGUCUGCGUGAGAUGUGGGACAUUUGAGAGACUUUGAACUUUUACUGUGCUUAUGGACUUAUUCAUCAAGUUAUGAUACUUCCUGAUUUCUUGAAUGGUUACAGCAUGUCCUACUUUGAUAUACACAUUGGAAUAAUACCAAAAUUGUAAAAGCAAACCAUAAAGUGAGUUCUAAUAUUAAAACACAGAAAGUAAACAGCUUUAUUCUGUUACUUCAUUUAACACAGUGCCAAUAAUGCAAAGAUGGUUGAUCUUAAACCACUCCUUUACUUUUGCCCAUGAAUGACGUAACCAUAGAAACUCAAGAGACUGUAAAUGCUGGAAUCUGGAGCAACAAAUAAUCUGCUGGAGGAACUCACUAUUUUAAGUGCACCUCAAUUUAAAGUAAUUAAGAGGCUAUUACAUUAUAUGUCCUUAAGUAGAGGACAGUCACCAAGAUGCCCACAGGUCAAGUGGA
Molecule: long non-coding RNA, 856 nt
Organism: Mobula hypostoma (lesser devil ray)
Lineage: Eukaryota; Metazoa; Chordata; Chondrichthyes; Myliobatiformes; Myliobatidae
Exons: 3
Source: RefSeq, a predicted model, not a curated record